GGCCUCUCAGAUGUGAUGGACCCCAGGCAACCUCGAGCAGAGUCCAAAACCAGCCCCAGUGUCUUCCCGCUGAGCCUCCGCAGCCGUGAUGAAGCCGGGCACGUGGUCAUCGCCUGCCUGGUGCAGGGGUUCUUCCCACCGGAGCCCGUGAACGUGACCUGGAGCCCCGGCAAGGAGGGCGCGUCCGUCAGGAACUUCCCCCCUGUGAAGGCCACGGCCGGCAGUCUGUACACCAUGAGCAGCCAGCUGACCCUGCCGGCCGACCAGUGCCCCGCCGGGUCGUCCCUGCAGUGCCACGUUCAGCACGUCUCCGAUCCCAGCAAGCCUGUGUCUGUGCCCUGCGAAGGUCAGAGGCGAGGAGGCGGGGCCACCCCAUCCUGUGACCACCCUGCUGCGAUCUCUCUCUCAGUUCCAGACCUGUGUCCCCCCCAUUGUCAGUGUCCCUCGUGCGACCAGCCCCGCCUGUCGCUUCACCCGCCCGCCCUCGAGGAUCUGCUUGUGACCUCCAAUGGCAGCCUCACGUGCACGCUGAGUGGCCUGAAAGACCCCAGGGGAGCCUCCUUCAGCUGGACGCCCUCCGGGGGGAAGGAUGCCGUCCAGAAGGCCCCCAAGCGGGACGCCUGCGGCUGCUACAGCGUGUCCAGCGUGCUGCCGGGCUGCGCGGCGCCGUGGAACAGUGGGGUCACCUUCUCCUGCACGGCCACCCACCCUGAGUCCAAGAGCCCAAUAACCGGCAACAUCAGCAAACUCCUAGGAAACACCUUCCGGCCCCAGGUCCACCUGCUGCCGCCGCCGUCGGAGGAGCUGGCCCUCAACGAGCUGGUGUCGCUGACCUGCUUGGUGAGGGGCUUCAGCCCCAAGGACGUGCUCGUCCGCUGGCUGCAGGGGACCCAGGAGCUGCCCCCGGAGAAGUACACGACCUGGAAGUCCUUGAAGGAGCCCGGCCGGGGCAGCCCCACCUUCGCCGUGACCAGCGUGCUGAGGGUCGACGCCGAGGCCUGGAAGCAGGGGGACAAGUUCUCCUGCGUGGUGGGCCACGAGACCUUGGGCCCGAAGAAUUUCACCGAGAAGACCAUCGACCGCCUGGCGGGUAAACCCACCCACGUCAACGUGUCUGUGGUCGUGGCAGAGGUGGACGGCGUCUGCUACUGAAACGCCCACCCGUCCUCCUGAAUAAAGUCCGUGUUCGCCCGGAGUGACCCCGGGCCCCCCUGA
Molecule: non-coding RNA, 1215 nt
Organism: Neogale vison (American mink)
Lineage: Eukaryota; Metazoa; Chordata; Mammalia; Carnivora; Mustelidae
Source: the annotation of a RefSeq genome assembly